RNAcentral lists this unclassified non-coding RNA (265 nucleotides) under uncultured fungus. RNAcentral's name for it is "sequence contains ITS1, 5.8S rRNA gene". The stretch from base 217 to 265 matches the Rfam family "5.8S ribosomal RNA", at positions 1 to 49 of the family's 154-position model. The record is from RNAcentral. Lineage: Eukaryota; Fungi.
UUUCCGUAGGUUAACCUACGGAAGGAUCAUUAUCCAUCUAAAACCAGGUGCGGUCGCGGCCUCCGGGUGAAAACCUGGGUGGUUUCGCGCCGCAUUCCUGCACCCUUUUUUUACGAGCACCUUUCGUUCUCCUUCGGCGGGGCAACCUGCCGCUGGAACUUAACAAAACCUUUUCUUGCAUCUAGCAUUACCUGUUCUGAUACAAACAAUCGUUACAACUUUCAACAAUGGAUCUCUUGGCUCUGGCAUCGAUGAAGAACGCAGC